RNAcentral lists this unclassified non-coding RNA (210 nucleotides) under plant metagenome. Its description in RNAcentral is "partial contains small subunit ribosomal RNA, internal transcribed spacer 1, and 5.8S ribosomal RNA". The record is from RNAcentral.
GUAGGUGAACCUGCGGAAGGAUCAUUACCGAGUGGGGGUCCUUCGGGGCCCGAUCUCCAACCCUUUGUCUAAUCCACCGCGUCGCUUCGGCGGGCGCGGGCCCGCCGACCGCGACCGCAGUCUUGAAACACAACCACACAAAACUUUCAACAACGGAUCUCUUGGCUCUGGCAUCGAUGAAGAACGCAGCAUCUGACUGACUCGGGCAUA